Molecule: non-coding RNA, 24 nt
Filed under: Arabidopsis thaliana (thale cress)
Lineage: Eukaryota; Viridiplantae; Streptophyta; Magnoliopsida; Brassicales; Brassicaceae
Source: RNAcentral
AUGUUGUCUAUGGCCGUUACGGAC